CGCAUAGUUUCAGGAAUCGCAUKWUUGCACAAGGAAAGGUAGCUUCGGCUACCACUAAUUGAGUGGCCCGCGGGUGAUUAACAAGUGGGUGAGGUAAUGGUUCACCAAGGCAAUGAUACGUAGCCGACCUGAGAGGGUGAUCGGCCACACUGGGACUGAGACACGGCCCAGACUCCUACGGGAGGCAGCAGUAGGGAAUCUUCCGCAAUGGACGAAAGUCUGACGGAGCAACGCCGCGUGAGUGAAGAAGGUUUUCGGAUCGUAAAACUCUGUUGUUAAAGAAGAACAAGGAUGAGAGUAACUGCUC
This 307-nucleotide ribosomal RNA is filed under the name Carnobacterium maltaromaticum. RNAcentral's name for it is "bacterial SSU rRNA". It matches the Rfam family "Bacterial small subunit ribosomal RNA", at positions 170 to 466 of the family's 1533-position model. The record is from RNAcentral. Lineage: Bacteria; Bacillati; Bacillota; Bacilli; Lactobacillales; Carnobacteriaceae.